Molecule: ribosomal RNA, 428 nt
Filed under: uncultured bacterium
Lineage: Bacteria
Description: partial 16S ribosomal RNA
Rfam family: Bacterial small subunit ribosomal RNA
Source: RNAcentral
AGCGAACGCUGGCGGCAGGCCUAACACAUGCAAGUCGAACGAACUCUUCGGAGUUAGUGGCGGACGGGUGAGUAACACGUGGGAACGUGCCUUUUGGUUCGGAAUAACUCAGGGAAACUUGUGCUAAUACCGAAUGUGCCCUUCGGGGGAAAGAUUUAUCGCCAUUAGAGCGGCCCGCGUCUGAUUAGCUAGUUGGUGAGGUAACGGCUCACCAAGGCGACGAUCAGUAGCUGGUCUGAGAGGAUGACCAGCCACACUGGGACUGAGACACGGCCCAGACUCCUACGGGAGGCAGCAGUGGGGAAUCUUGCGCAAUGGGCGAAAGCCUGACGCAGCCAUGCCGCGUGAAUGAUGAAGGUCUUAGGAUUGUAAAAUUCUUUCACCGGGGACGAUAAUGACGGUACCCGGAGAAGAAGCCCCGGCUAACU